Molecule: ribosomal RNA, 305 nt
Filed under: uncultured bacterium
Lineage: Bacteria
Description: bacterial SSU rRNA
Rfam family: Bacterial small subunit ribosomal RNA
Source: RNAcentral
GUCCUACGGGGCGCAGCAGUGGGGAAUAUUGCACAAUGGGGGAAACCCUGAUGCAGCGACGCCGCGUGAAGGAAGAAGUAUUUCGGUAUGUAAACUUCUAUCAGCAGGGAAGAAAAUGACGGUACCUGAGUAAGAAGCCCCGGCUAACUACGUGCCAGCAGCCGCGGUAAUACGUAGGGGGCAAGCGUUAUCCGGAUUUACUGGGUGUAAAGGGAGCGUAGACGGUAAUGUAAGUCUGAUGUGAAAGCCCGGGGCUCAACCCCGGGACUGCAUUGGAAACUAUGUAACUAGAGUACCGGAGAGGG